AAUGGGCGCAAGCCUGAUCCAGCCAUGCCGCGUGAGUGAUGAAGGCCCUAGGGUCGUAAAGCUCUUUCGCCAGGGAUGAUAAUGACAGUGCCAGGUAAAGAAACCCCGGCUAACUCCGUGCCAGCAGCCGCGGUAAUACGGAGGGGGUUAGCGUUGUUCGGAAUUACUGGGCGUAAAGCGCACGUAGGCGGAUCGGAAAGUUGGGGGUGAAAUCCCGGGGCUCAACCCCGGAACUGCCUCCAAAACUAUCAGUCUAGAGUUCGAGAGAGGUGAGUGGAAUUCCGAGUGUAGAGGUGAAAUUCGUAGAUAUUCGGAGGAACACCAGUGGCGAAGGCGGCUCACUGGCUCGAUACUGACGCUGAGGUGCGAAAGUGUGGGGAGCAAACAGGAUU
This 392-nucleotide ribosomal RNA is filed under the name uncultured Gammaproteobacteria bacterium. RNAcentral describes it as "bacterial SSU rRNA". It matches the Rfam family "Bacterial small subunit ribosomal RNA", at positions 370 to 779 of the family's 1533-position model. The record is from RNAcentral. Lineage: Bacteria; Pseudomonadati; Pseudomonadota; Gammaproteobacteria.